This 492-nucleotide ribosomal RNA is filed under the name uncultured bacterium. RNAcentral's name for it is "partial 16S ribosomal RNA". It matches the Rfam family "Bacterial small subunit ribosomal RNA", at positions 29 to 507 of the family's 1533-position model. The record is from RNAcentral.
AGUGAACGCUGGCGGUAGGCCUAACACAUGCAAGUCGAACGGCAGCACAGUAAGAGCUUGCUCUUACGGGUGGCGAGUGGCGGACGGGUGAGGAAUACAUCGGAAUCUACUUUUUCGUGGGGGACAACGUAGGGAAACUUACGCUAAUACCGCAUACGACCUACGGGUGAAAGCAGGGGAUCUUCGGACCUUGCGCGAUUGAAUGAGCCGAUGUCGGAUUAGCUAGUUGGCGGGGUAAAGGCCCACCAAGGCGACGAUCCGUAGCUGGUCUGAGAGGAUGAUCAGCCACACUGGAACUGAGAAACGGUCCAGACUCCUACGGGAGGCAGCAGUGGGGAAUAUUGGACAAUGGGCGCAAGCCUGAUCCAGCCAUACCGCGUGGGUGAAGAAGGCCUUCGGGUUGUAAAGCCCUUUUGUUGGGAAAGAAAAGCAGCAGGUUAAUACCCCGCUGUUCUGACGGUACCAAAAGAAUAAGCACCGGCUAACUUCGUG